This 59-nucleotide transfer RNA is filed under the name Erinaceus europaeus (western European hedgehog). It matches the Rfam family "tRNA", at positions 7 to 64 of the family's 71-position model. From Rfam's summary of the family: Transfer RNA (tRNA) molecules are approximately 80 nucleotides in length. Their secondary structure includes four short double-helical elements and three loops (D, anti-codon, and T loops). Further hydrogen bonds mediate the characteristic L-shaped molecular structure. tRNAs have two regions of fundamental functional importance: the anti-codon, which is responsible for specific mRNA codon recognition, and the 3' end, to which the tRNAs corresponding amino acid is attached (by aminoacyl-tRNA synthetases). tRNAs cope with the degeneracy of the genetic code in two manners: having more than one tRNA (with a specific anti-codon) for a particular amino acid; and 'wobble' base-pairing, i.e. permitting non-standard base-pairing at the 3rd anti-codon position. The record is from Rfam by way of RNAcentral. Lineage: Eukaryota; Metazoa; Chordata; Mammalia; Eulipotyphla; Erinaceidae.
AUAGCUUAGCAUUAGAGCACAGGACUUGGAGGCCUGAGGUCCCAGGUUUGAUCCCUGGU